UUUGGAAAGGUGCGGUCUCAGGCUAUGCGAUAUAGUAGCAACUGAAUCUAUACCCAGCAGUGGAUGAGCUAGACAUGACCAGAAAGCUUCCCGAUGGUGAAAAAAUCAGUGAAAUAUAUAGCAAUUAAUUUCAUUUUUAGUCGAACUUUCCAUACAUUUCCAUUAAAAAAUCUCAGGAAUCUGGGCACCCAUAAGAAAGUUUCUUAAGAUUUUUUGAAAAAAUUGAAAAAUUCCUUCCCAAUUUUUUGAUAUGUUAAAUGGGAUGUGCUAGCCUUCAUUUUAAGCCAAUAAAAUGAAAAAUCGGUUAGGGUGCUCAUUGACAAAACACCUAAUUUGUACUUUGAUGCCUCUGCCUGACUCACAGCUUUUAUUAGAAUCGUCUGUCAAUUCUCUACAAACUACCAUUAGAUCAAAACCGACCGGGUCGUUUCAUUUCGGGGUAAAAUUUUCUGAAAAAGUCAUGAUUUUGAAAUUUUCAAAUUUUCUUAGAGUCGCCCCGAGCCGGAGAGGUCGUUUUGAAAA
Molecule: long non-coding RNA, 522 nt
Organism: Bradysia coprophila
Lineage: Eukaryota; Metazoa; Arthropoda; Insecta; Diptera; Sciaridae
Source: RefSeq, a predicted model, not a curated record